AAGCAAGUAGUUUAUAUCGGCUAAAACACUUCCCCUUCUAAGGAAGAGAUGCGUGUUCGACUCCCGCCUUGCUUUC
RNAcentral lists this transfer RNA (76 nucleotides) under Capnocytophaga stomatis. RNAcentral describes it as "tRNA-Arg". It matches the Rfam family "tRNA". From Rfam's summary of the family: Transfer RNA (tRNA) molecules are approximately 80 nucleotides in length. The record is from RNAcentral. Lineage: Bacteria; Pseudomonadati; Bacteroidota; Flavobacteriia; Flavobacteriales; Flavobacteriaceae.